RNAcentral lists this non-coding RNA (645 nucleotides) under Arabidopsis thaliana (thale cress). The record is from RNAcentral. Lineage: Eukaryota; Viridiplantae; Streptophyta; Magnoliopsida; Brassicales; Brassicaceae.
GAAAAAGAAAAAAAAACUCUUUAGCUGUUUAUAUUUAGAGUUGAGACUAAUUCGGCGUUGCGCACCAACCUAACUUCGGUUCUACUUCACACACAAAACUCGUGUCGUCUCUUGUUAUAAAGGGUCUCUUUGUUUCAGUGUCUUUGGUCUCGUGUUUGUGUAGAGAUGGAGAACAAGACCGAUAAUGGAAACGAGGAUGGUCCAAUAAUACAUAGCCAAGUUGAGAAGAUAAAGAAAGAGUUUGAGAAGAUAAGACAACCGUCGCUGCAGCAACCGGAGAUGAGGAGGGUUCUUAGCGAGAUCAAAAGGCGUCAACGUUCACGUUCUCCUCUUGGUUUAGGGGAGAGAUCUAUUUCCGUUGGGAAUUGAUCCAUGUUUGACUUUAUAGUCGAGAGAGAUAGAUAAAAAAAAAGAGGUAGAGGUGGUUAUGUGGUUCCUAAUAGUUAACAGGUUUUGUUGUAUAUAUUAUGCUAUAUAAAUACUCUUUCGUUUGAAAAUGAAUACGUCUCCUCUCUUUGCAUAGUAUGAUGAUGUAUGAAUCUCGAUUUACAUGAUAUGUAUGUGAGAGAUAUAGUAACUACAACUGAAUGAAAAAUCCAUGAGACAAAAAAGUUCGCAAUAGAAGAAUAUUGAUUCGGUAAAAAA